RNAcentral lists this ribosomal RNA (638 nucleotides) under Aspergillus phoenicis. RNAcentral describes it as "partial 28S ribosomal RNA". It matches the Rfam family "Eukaryotic large subunit ribosomal RNA", at positions 1 to 653 of the family's 3401-position model. The record is from RNAcentral. Lineage: Eukaryota; Fungi; Ascomycota; Eurotiomycetes; Eurotiales; Aspergillaceae.
UUGACCUCGGAUCAGGUAGGGAUACCCGCUGAACUUAAGCAUAUCAAUAAGCGGAGGAAAAGAAACCAACCGGGAUUGCCUCAGUAACGGCGAGUGAAGCGGCAAGAGCUCAAAUUUGAAAGCUGGCUCCUUCGGAGUCCGCAUUGUAAUUUGCAGAGGAUGCUUUGGGUGCGGCCCCCGUCUAAGUGCCCUGGAACGGGCCGUCAGAGAGGGUGAGAAUCCCGUCUUGGGCGGGGUGUCCGUGCCCGUGUAAAGCUCCUUCGACGAGUCGAGUUGUUUGGGAAUGCAGCUCUAAAUGGGUGGUAAAUUUCAUCUAAAGCUAAAUACUGGCCGGAGACCGAUAGCGCACAAGUAGAGUGAUCGAAAGAUGAAAAGCACUUUGAAAAGAGAGUUAAACAGCACGUGAAAUUGUUGAAAGGGAAGCGCUUGCGACCAGACUCGCCCGCGGGGUUCAGCCGGCAUUCGUGCCGGUGUACUUCCCCGUGGGCGGGCCAGCGUCGGUUUGGGCGGCCGGUCAAAGGCCCCUGGAAUGUAGUGCCCUCCGGGGCACCUUAUAGCCAGGGGUGCAAUGCGGCCAGCCUGGACCGAGGAACGCGCUUCGGCACGGACGCUGGCAUAAUGGUCGUAAACGACCCGUC